RNAcentral lists this ribosomal RNA (181 nucleotides) under uncultured bacterium. RNAcentral describes it as "partial 16S ribosomal RNA". It matches the Rfam family "Bacterial small subunit ribosomal RNA", at positions 338 to 515 of the family's 1533-position model. The record is from RNAcentral.
CCUACGGGAGGCAGCAGUGAGGAAUAUUGGACAAUGGGCGCAAGCCUGAUCCAGCCAUGCCGCGUGCAGGAAGACGCAUCUAUGGUGUGUAAACUGCUUUUGUACGGGAAGAAACACUCCUUCGUGAAGGAGCUUGACGGUACCGUAAGAAAUAAGGAUCGGCUAACUCCGUGCCAGCAGC